Molecule: small nuclear RNA, 164 nt
Filed under: Erinaceus europaeus (western European hedgehog)
Lineage: Eukaryota; Metazoa; Chordata; Mammalia; Eulipotyphla; Erinaceidae
Description: U1 spliceosomal RNA
Rfam family: U1 spliceosomal RNA
About the family: U1 is a small nuclear RNA (snRNA) component of the spliceosome (involved in pre-mRNA splicing). Its 5' end forms complementary base pairs with the 5' splice junction, thus defining the 5' donor site of an intron. There are significant differences in sequence and secondary structure between metazoan and yeast U1 snRNAs, the latter being much longer (568 nucleotides as compared to 164 nucleotides in human).
Source: Rfam by way of RNAcentral
AUACUUACCUGGCAGGGGAGAUACCAUGAUCACGAAGGUGGUUUUCCCAGGGCGAGGCUUAUCCAUUGCACUCCGGAUGUGCUGACCCCUGCGAUUUCCCCAAAUGUGGGAAACUCGACUGCAUAAUUUGUGGUAGUGGGGGACUGUGUUCGCGCUCUCCCCUA